UCUCGCGUGGUCCAGCGGUUAGGAUUCCUGGUUUUCACCCAGGCAGCCUGGGUUCACUCCCGGUGCGGGAG
RNAcentral lists this transfer RNA (71 nucleotides) under Schistosoma mattheei. It matches the Rfam family "tRNA". Rfam says of the family: Transfer RNA (tRNA) molecules are approximately 80 nucleotides in length. Their secondary structure includes four short double-helical elements and three loops (D, anti-codon, and T loops). Further hydrogen bonds mediate the characteristic L-shaped molecular structure. tRNAs have two regions of fundamental functional importance: the anti-codon, which is responsible for specific mRNA codon recognition, and the 3' end, to which the tRNAs corresponding amino acid is attached (by aminoacyl-tRNA synthetases). tRNAs cope with the degeneracy of the genetic code in two manners: having more than one tRNA (with a specific anti-codon) for a particular amino acid; and 'wobble' base-pairing, i.e. permitting non-standard base-pairing at the 3rd anti-codon position. Lineage: Eukaryota; Metazoa; Platyhelminthes; Trematoda; Strigeidida; Schistosomatidae. The record is from Rfam by way of RNAcentral.